GAAUGUCUCUGGAAACUUUCGAAAUCGCCGCCGUCCAAGCUCUGUUGGCGCUGCAGGGAUCGAUCAGCUUCCCUCCGUUGAGUGAGAUGGGCAUCGCUGAAAUAAUCGCCGCAGAAGCCUUAUUACAGCUUCGGGGAAACGGAAUUCAGUGUCCUCCAAAGACUCCUACGUUUCAGGAAACAGAAGAUCUGGGUAUGUCAGAGAGGCCUUCUUCAGUAACAGUGGACGAAAGCAGUUCGUCGAAGACGACGGAGGAAGAAGGCCCAACGACGAGUCGUAAACGGACUCGCAGUUGCACUUCAGAGUCAUCAGACCAGAUUUUAAGUGACGAAACUGAGUUUUUACAUGCGCCGGAGCCACUGGAGAAGAAUAUGAAUGUCUCUGGAAUCUUUCGAAACUUUCGCCGUCCAAGCUCUGUUGGCGCUGCAGGGAUCGAUCAGCUUCCCUCCGUUGAGUGGAGUCAUCAGGCCAGAGCGUAAGUGACGAAAGUGAGUUUUUAUAUGCGCCGGAGCUACUGGAGGAGAAUAUGAAUACAAUCGGCGAUGGAAACGCAAAAAUCCCAGUGAAAAUUUACACUUCCAUUAAGUGGAAUUCGUAUACGAUGGCUACCAGGAAACUAUCGACAGCCGUAUUUCCUCGACACAUUCUCGCAACACAUUCUCUUACUGGGAAAUGGUCACCAGCG
Pieris brassicae (large cabbage white) is the source of this 685-nucleotide long non-coding RNA. RefSeq lists it as uncharacterized. The record is from RefSeq and is a predicted model, not a curated record. Lineage: Eukaryota; Metazoa; Arthropoda; Insecta; Lepidoptera; Pieridae. The transcript has 8 exons.